UCGUGGCGACAGCUGUCUAGAUUUAUUUCGGUAACGAGCGAGACCAGAGCCUGCUAUUUGGGCAUCCUCACUUUGGUGGGUGGUGCUCUCAUAGAGGGAUUUCGGGCGCAAGCUCGACGAAAAUGCUGGCAAUAACA
RNAcentral lists this ribosomal RNA (137 nucleotides) under uncultured eukaryote. RNAcentral describes it as "partial 18S ribosomal RNA". It matches the Rfam family "Eukaryotic small subunit ribosomal RNA", at positions 1299 to 1458 of the family's 1831-position model. The record is from RNAcentral.